Molecule: long non-coding RNA, 8146 nt
Filed under: Triticum aestivum (bread wheat)
Lineage: Eukaryota; Viridiplantae; Streptophyta; Magnoliopsida; Poales; Poaceae
Description: long non-coding RNA (TAES_LNC012708)
Source: RNAcentral
GCUUAGGCACAUUAGAGCGUUUGGACCUUAGCCACAAUAGCUUGAGCGGUGUGCUAUUGAAAGAACAUUUUGCUGGUUUAGGCAACUUAAAGGUUUUGUUUCUUAGCUACAAUAACUUCAACAGUGUGAAAGAACAAUUUGCAAGCUUAGGCAAAUUAGAGCAUUUGGACCUUAGCCACAAUAACUUGAGCAGUGUGCUAUGAUACGUCUCCAACGUAUCUAUAAUUUUUGAUUGCUCCAUGCUACUUUAUCUACUGUUUUAGGCAAUAUUGGGAUUUAUUAUCCACUUUUAUAUUAGUUUUGGGACUAACCUAUUAACCGGAGGCCCAGCCCAGAUUUGCUGUUUUAUGCCUAUUUCAGUGUUUCGAGGAAAAGGAAUAUCAGACGGAGUCAAACGGAACGAAAUCAACUGGAGAAGUUAUUUUUGGAAGGAAAGCAACCCAGGGAACUUGGAGUGCACGUCAGGGGAGAGAUGGGCUGCCCACGAGGGUGGGAGGCGCGCCCCCUGCCUCGUGGGACCCCCGUAGUUCCACCGAGGUACCCCCUGCACCCAUAUAUACCUACGUACCCAAAAACUUCCAGAAUAGAACCUAGAUCGGGAGUUACGCCGCCGCAAGCCUCCAGAACCACGAAAAACCAAUCGGGACCCUGUUCCGGCACCCUGCCGGAGGGGAGAUCCUUCACUGGUGGCCAUCUUCAUCAUCCCGGCGUUAUCCAUGACGAGGAGGGAGUAGUUCACCCUCGGGGCUGAGGGUAUGUACUAGUAGCUAUGUGUUUGAUCUCUCUCUCUCUCUCUCGUGUUCUCUCUCGUGUUCCUCUAUGGCACGAUCUUGAUGUAUCCCGAGCUUUGCUAUUGUAGUUGGAUUUUAUGAUGUUUCUCCCUCUCUACUCUCUUGUGAUGAAUUGAGUUUCCCCUUUGAAGUUAUCUUAUCGGAUUGAGUCUUUUAUGAGAACACUUGAUGUAUGUCUUGGUGAUCAACUUGCGGGUUUCGUGACAUUGGGAACCUAUACAUAGGGGUUGGCACACGUUCUUGACUUUCCGGUAGUAGCUUUGAGGCACUCUUUCAAGUACUUUUAUGUUGGUUGGAUGAAUCUGAGAUUGUGUGAUGCAUAUCAUAUAAUCAUGCCCACGGAUACUUGAGGUGACAAUGGAGUAUCUAGGUGACAUUAGGGGUUUGGUUGAUUUGUGUCUUAAGGUGUUAUUCUAGUACGAACUCUUUUAUAGAUCGAUCAGAAAGGAUAACUUUGAGGUGGUUUCGCACCCUACCAUAAUCUCUAUGUUUGUUCUCCGCUAUUAGUGGAUUUGGAGUGACUCUUUGUUGCAUGUUAAGGGCUUGUUAUAUGAUCUAUCUAUGUUAUUAUUGUUGAGAGAACUUGCACUAGUGAAAGUAUGAACCCUAGACCUUGUUUCCUAACAUUGCAAUACCAUUUACGCUCACUUUUACCGCUCGCUACCUUGCUGUUUUUAUUAUUUCAGAUUACAAAAACCUAUAUCUAGUAUCUAUUUUGCACUUGUAUCACCAUCUCUUCGCCGAACUAGUGCACCUAUACAAUUUACCAUUGUAUAGGGUGUGUUGGGGACACAAGGGACUCUUUGUUAUUUGGUUGCAGGGUUGUUUGAGAGAGACCCUCUUCAUCCUACGCCUCCUACGGAUUGAUAAACCUUAGGUCAUCCACUUGAGAGAAAUUUGCUACUGUCCUACAAACAUGUGCACUUACAGGCCCAACAACGUCUACAAGAAGAAGGUUGUGUAGUAGACAUCAAGCUCUUUUCUGGCGCCGUUGCCGGGGAGGUUAGCGCUUGAAGGUAUAUCUUUAGAUCUUUCAACCGAAUCUUUUUGUUUCUUGUUUUAGCACUAGUUUAGUUUAUAAAAGAAAACUACAAAAAAAUGGAGUUAAGUUUGUCUCAUACGCUUCGUCUUUUUAAUAUCUUUCCUGAGUAUGAUGGAAAGGAAAAUUGUGCUCAAGUGCUAGAAGAAGAAUUACAUAGAAUGCUUGGCAUAAAAUAUGUGAAUGAUGAGCAUGAUUGCAAUGUUGUUAGUAUGAAUUCCUUGAAUAUCCAUGAUGCUAAUGAUAUGCAAAGCCACAAGCUUGGGGAAGCUAUGUUUGAUGAAUAUGAUAUUUUUAGCCCCCAAAGUUUUGAUGAGAAAAUUUACUAUGAUGAAAGCAUGCCUCCUAUCUAUGAUGAUUAUUGUGAUGACGCGUAUGCUUUAAAGAAUAAUUAUAACCAUGAAACUUGUCAUCUUGAUCUUAAUUUUCAAUCACAUGAUAGUUAUUUUGUUGAGUUUGCUCCCACUACUAUUCAUGAGAAGAAAUUUGCUUAUGUGGAGAGUAGUAAAUUUUCUAUACUUGUAGAUCAUGAAAAGAAUGCUUUAGGUGCUGGUUAUAUUGUUGAAUUAAUUCAUGAUGCUACUGAAAAUUAUUAUGAGAGAGGAACAUAUACUUGUAGGAAUUGCAAUAAUGUCAAGUUUCCUCUCUAUGUGCUUAAAUUCUUGAAGCUAUGCUUGUUGUGCCAUCCUAUGCUAGUUGAUUAUUGUUCCCAUAAGUUGUUUGCUCACAAAAUCCCUAUGCAUAUGAAGUGGGUUAGACUUAAAUAUGCUAGUCAUAUGCUUCAUGAUGCUCCCGUUAUGUUUCAAUUCUUAUCUUUUUUUGUGAGCAUCAUUGUCAUCAUCAUGCCUAGCUAAAAGGCAUUAAAAAAAGCGCUUGUUGGGAGACAACGCAAUAUUUAUCCUUACUGUUUUUGUGUGUCCACAUGAUUAUGCUACUGUAUUAAUCAUGUUCUAUAGCUUUUGUUUCAAUAAAGUGCCAAGUAGAACCUUUGGGAAGACUUGGGUGAAGUUUAUAUGAUCUUGCUGUGAAAAACAGAAACUUUAGCGCUCACGAGCUUAGCUGCCAUUUUUUUACUGGGAGUGCUUUUAGGUUGAUUCUUUUUGAAGAUGAUUAAUAGACAAAUUUCUCAGGUCCAGCAAUUUAUUUCAUAAUUUUUGGGGUUCCAGAAGUAUACGUUUGAUAUAGAUUACUACAGGCUGUUCUGUUUUUGACAGAUUCUGUUUUCUAUAUGUUGUUUGCUUAUUUUGAUGCAUCUAUGGCUAGUAUUAAGUGGUAUGAACCAUAGAGAUGUUAGAAUACAGUAGAUAUAACACCAAUAUGAAUUUAGAAUGAGUUCAUUACAGUAUCUAAGUGGUGGUUUUAUUUUCUUAUACUAACGGAGCUUGCGAGUUCUGUUUUGAGUUUUGUGUGGUUGAAGUUUUCAAGUUUUGGGUAAAUAUUCGAUGGAUUAUGGAAUAAGGAGUGGAAAGAGCCUAAGCUUGGGGAUGCCCAAGGCACCCCAAGGUAAUAUUUAAGGACAACCAAGAAACUAAGCUUGGGCAUGCCCCGGAAGGCAUCCCCUCUUUCGUCUUCGUUCAUCGGUAACUUUACUUGGAGCUAUAUUUUAUUCGCCACAUGAUAUGUGUUUUACUUGGAGCGUCAUUUUAUUUUGCUAGUUUUUGCUUUCUGUUAGUUAGAAUAAUGUUUUGCAUCUUUAGUUUCAAUAAAAAAACUCAAGGAUAGCCUUUGCCAUGCUUAUUUUGCUAGUUUGCAUGUUGCUGUUUGAAAACAGAAAGUUUACCUCUGUUGCAAAAAUUCCCUAGAAAAGUCAGAGAAAGGUAUAACGUUGAAUAUUUUUGUAUAUUAAGCUCUGAUAAAUUUAUUACAGUUGGAAUUUUAGUUCAUAAUUUUUGGAGUUAGGGAAGUAUGAUUACUCUUGCAUUCUUUACAGACUGUACUGUUUUGGCAGAUUGCUGUUAUGGUUGCAUUGUUUGCAUAUGUUUGCUUGUUUAAUGAUUCUAUUUGAGGAUAGGAGUAUUAAAUAUGCAGAGGAAUUUAGUAUGCAAUGUUGAAUAAUAAUUUAAGUGAUUUGUUAUAGUAGAAGAUGAUAAGGUUUUGCAUUGGUUUAUACUAACCUAUCUCACGAGUUCUUGUUGAGUUUGUUGUGAAUGAAGCUUUUGAUAAAAAGAAGAGAAACCAUGAUAUGAGAGGAAUUAAGGAGAUAAAAGCUUAAGAUUGGGGAUGCCCAAGGCACCCCAAGAUAAUAUUUCAAGAAGUCUCAAGCAUCUAAUCUUGGGGAUGCCCCGGUAGGCAUCCCACCUUUAUUCUUCAACAAUCAUCGGUUAGUAUCGGUUGAGCCUAAGUUUUUGCUUCUUCACAUGAGUUGUGCUAUCCUUGCAUUGUCAUUUAUUUUGUUUUGCUUGCUGUUUGAAUAAGAUACCAAGAUCUGAAAUUCUUUAAUGAGAGAUAGCCAUACACAAAUUGGAAUUUGCUAGAAUACUCUAUGUGCUUCACUUAUAUCUUUUGAGCUUGAUAGUUUUGCUCAUAGUGCUUCACUUAUAUCUUUUGAGCGUGAUAAUUUUUGCUCUAGUGCUUCACUCAUAUCUUUUAAAGCACGGUGGUGGAUUUGUUUUAAAGAAACUAUUGAUCUCUCAUGCUUCACUUAGAUUAUUUUGAGAGUUGUUAAUAGCAUGGUAAUUUGCUUAAUGUUAAUAUACUUGGUAUUCAAGAUAUGUGAAACUUUCUUUUGAGUGCGUUGAAUACUAAGAUAAGUUUGAUGCUUGAUAAUUGUUUUGAGAUAUGGAGGUGAUAAUAUCAAACCAAUGCUAGUUGGGGUGACCAUGAAUUUAAAGAAUGCUUGUGUUGAAGUUUGUGAUUCCCGUAGCAUGCACGUAUGGUGAACCGCUUUGUGAUGAAGUCGGAGCACAAUUUUAUUUAUUGAUUGUCUUCCUUAUGAGUGGCAGUCGGGGACGAGCGAUGGUCUUUUCCUACCAAUCUAUCCCCCUAGGAGCAUGCGCGUAGUACUUGAAUUUUUGAUGACUUCUAAAUUUUUGCAAUAAGUAUAUGAGUUCUUUUGAUUAAUGUUGAGUCCAUGGAUUAUACGCACUCUCACCCUUCCACUUUUGCUAGCCUCUCUAAUACUGCGCACUUUUCGCCGGUAUCAUACACCCACCAUAUACCUUCCUCAAAACAGCCACCAUACCUACCUAUCAUGGCAUUUUCGUAGCCAUUCCGAGAUAUAUUGCCAUGCAACUUUCCACCGUUCCAUUCAUAUGACACACAUUACUUUUGUCAUAUUGCUUUUUGCAUGAACAUGUAGUUGACAUAGUAUUUGUGGCAAGGCCACCUUCAUAAUUUUCAUACAUGUUACUCUUGAUUCAUUGCAUAUCCCGGUCUACUGCCGGAGGCAUUCAUAUAGAGUCAUAUCUUGUUCUAAGUAUCGAGUUGUAAUUGUUGAGUUGUAAGAAAAAUAAAAGUGUGAUGAUCAUCAUUAUUGGAGCAUUGUCCCAGUGAGGAAAGGAUGAUGGAGACUAUGAUUCCCCCAUAAGUCGGGAUGAGACUCCGGACUUUAUGAAAAAUAAAAGAGGCCAAAGAAGACCAAAUAAAAAAAAGAGUGGCCAUAAAAAAAAGAGAAAGACCAAAUAAAAAAAUAAAAAAAUGAGAGAAAAAGAGAGAAGGGACAAUGCUACUAUCCUUUUUCCACACUUGUGCUUCAAAGUAGCACCAUGAUCUUCAUGAUAGAGAGUCUCAUAUGUUGUCACUUCCAUAUACUAGUGGGAAUUUUUCAUUAUAGAACUUGGCUUGUAUAUUCCAAUGAUGGGCUUCCUCAAAAGUGCCCUAGGUCUUCGUGAGCAAGCAAGUUGGAUGCACACCCACUUAGUUUCUUUUUGUUGAGCUUUCAUAUACUUAUAGCUCUAGUGCAUCCGUUGCAUGGCAAUCCCUACUCACUCACAUUGAUAUCUAUUAAUGGGCAUCUCCAUAGCCCAUUGAUACGCCUAGUUGAUGUGAGACUAUCUUCUCCUUUUUGUCUUCUCCACAACCACCAUUCUAUUCCAUCUAUAGUGCUAUGUCCAUGGCUCAUGCUCAUGUAUUGCGUGAAAGUUUAAAAAGUUUGAGAUUACUAAAGUAUGAAACAAUUGCUUGGCUCAUCAUCGGGGUUGUGCAUGAUUAAAUACUUUGUGUGAUGAAGAUAGAGCAUAGCCAGACUAUAUGAUUUUGUAGGGAUAACUUUCUUUAACCAUGCUAUUUUGAGAAGACAUGAUUGCUUUAAUUUGUAUGCUUGAAGUAUUAUUACUUUUAUGUCAAUAUGAACUUUUGUCUUGAAUCUUUCGGAUCUGAAUAUUCAUAUCACAAUUAAGAAGAUUUGCAUUGAAAUUAUGCCAAAGUAUCACUCCGCAUCAAAAAUUCUUUUUUAUCAUUUACCUACUCGAGGACGAGCAAGAAUUAAGCUUGGGGAUGCUUGAUACGUCUCCAACGUAUCUAUAAUUUUUGAUUGCUCCAUGCUACUUUAUCUACUGUUUUAGGCAAUAUUGGGCUUUAUUAUCCACUUUUAUAUUAUUUUUGGGACUAACCUAUUAACCGGAGGCCUAGCCCAGAUUUGCUGUUUUAUGCCUAUUUCAGUGUUUCGAGCAAAAGGAAUAUCAGACGGAGUCAAAACGGAACAAAAUCAACUGGAGAAGUUAUUUUUGGAAGGAAAGCAACCCAGGGAACUUGGAGUGCACGUCAGGGGAGAGACGGGCUGUCCACGAGGGUGGGGGACGCGCCCUCCUGGGCGCGCCCCCCUGCCUCGUGGGACCCCCGUAGCUCCACCGACGUACCCCCUGCACCCAUAUAUACCUACGUACCCAAAAACUUCCAGAACAAAACCUAUAUCGGGAGUUCCGCUGCCGCAAGCCUCCAGUACCACGAAAAACCAAUCGGGACCCUAUUUCAACACCCUGCCGGAGGGGGGAUCCUUCACCGGUGGCCAUCUUCAUCAUCCCGGCGCUAUCCAUGACGAGGAGGGAGUAGUUCACCCUCGGGGCAGAGGGUAUGUACCAGUAGCUAUGUGUUUGAUCUCUCUCUCUCGUGUUCUCUCUCGUGUUCCUCUAUGGCACGAUCUUGAUGUAUCCCGAGCUUUGCUAUUGUAGUUGGAUUUUAUGAUGUUUCUCCCCGUCUACUCUCUUGUGAUGAAUUGAGUUUCCCCUUUGAAGUUAUCUUAUCGGAUUGAGUCUUCUAUGAAAACACUUGAUGUAUGUCUUGGUGAUCAACUUGCGGGUUUCGUGACAUUAGGAACCUAUGCAUAGGGGUUGGCACACGUUCUUGACUUUCCGGUAGUAGCUUUGGGGCACUCUUUGAAGUACUUUUAUGUUGGUUGGAUGAAUCUGAGAUUGUGUGAUGCAUAUCGUAUAAUCAUGCCCACGGAUACUUGAGGUGACAAUGGAGUAUCUAGGUGACAUUAGGGUUUUGGUUGAUUUGUGUCUUAAGGUGUUAUUCUAGUACAAACUCUUUUAUAGAUCGAUCAGAAAGGAUAACUUUGAGGUGGUUUCCUACCCUACCAUAAUCUCUAUGUUUGUUCUCCGCUAUUAGUGGCUUUGGAGUGACUCUUUGUUGCAUGUUGAGGGCUUGUUAUAUGAUCUAUCUAUGUUAUUAUUGUUGAGAGAACUUGCACUAGUGAAAGUAUGAACCCUAGGCCUUGUUUCCUAUCAUUGCAAUACCGUUUACGCUCACUUUUACUGCUCGCUACCUUGCUGUUCUUAUUAUUUCAGAUUACAAAAACCUAUAUCUACUAUCUAUUUUGCACUUGUAUCACCAUCUCUUCGCCGAACUAGUGCACAUAUACAAUUUACCAUUGUAUUGGGUGUGUUGGGGACACAAGAGACUCUUUGUUAUUUGGUUGCAGGGUUGUUUGAGAGAGACCAUCUUCAUCCUACGCCUCCUACGGAUUGAUAAACCUUAGGUCAUCCACUUGAGGGAAAUUUGCUACUGUCCUACAAACCUGUGCACUUGCAGGCCCAACAACGUCUACAAGAAGAAGGUUGUGUAGUAGACAUCAUGCUAUUAAAAGAACAUUUUGCUGGUUUAGGCAACUUAAAGGUUUUGGAUCUCAGCUACAAUAACUUCAACGGUGUGAAAGAACAAUUUGCAAGCUUAGGAAAAUUAGAGUAUUUGGACCUUAGCCACAAUAACUUGAGCGGUGUGCUAUUGAAAGAACAUUUUGCUGGUUUAGGCAACUUAAAGGUUUUGGAGCUCAGCUACAAUAACUUCAAUAGUGUGAAAGAACAAUUUGCAAGCUUAGGCAAAUUGGAGAAUUUGAACCUCAGCCACAAUAACUUCAGAGGUGUGCUCUUGAAAGAAC